GUAUUUUUUCAAUCGCUCAGUUGGAUCAUGUUAUACUAUAGGUGUGGUGUUUGUACUUUUUUUAGAAAUUUUGGAAACUUCUACACCAUUAAAAUAUAAAAUAAAGAGUCAUUUACAUUUUCCCCCUAAUCUUGCCCUAGUCUCAUCUUUACCCCUAAAAAACAUGUGCUCAACUUUGCCCCUCUUCCGUCUGGUGUCGUUUCAGAAAUACCCCUC
RNAcentral lists this long non-coding RNA (216 nucleotides) under Hordeum vulgare. RNAcentral's name for it is "long non-coding RNA (HVUL_LNC018760)". The record is from RNAcentral. Lineage: Eukaryota; Viridiplantae; Streptophyta; Magnoliopsida; Poales; Poaceae.